RNAcentral lists this ribosomal RNA (1071 nucleotides) under Triticum aestivum (bread wheat). RNAcentral describes it as "partial small subunit ribosomal RNA". The record is from RNAcentral. Lineage: Eukaryota; Viridiplantae; Streptophyta; Magnoliopsida; Poales; Poaceae.
AUGCUGCUUCCCAAGAGCACAUUUGUCGCAGUAUUGCUCGACCCGAUCAAUCGCGGGCAUUCCACGCACCAUCUGCUUCGAAGACAUGGCUCGGAGGGCGCAGAAGUGGAGGUGACCCAGGCGGGCGUGCCAACGCCAGGUCAGGUCGUCUCCUUGUGCCAGCAGGCAAGCUGGUGCAUCCAUGGUGAGUGCGCCAGUGUACAGACGGUUGCCAGACCGCCUGAUGCUUGCCAAUGUGCGGCGAGCUGGGUCUCUGAUGACCAUGAGCCCGUCCUGAAUGCUGAUGACGCAGCCCGCCUCGUCCAACUGGCCAACCGAGACGAUGUUCGUACGAAGACUCGGGAUGAAGAAGACGCCAGCGAGCGCACGCUGAUCACCACCCUGGCAGCGGAACACCACCGUGCCUCGUCCACGGAUGGCCACAACAGAGCCGUCGCCGAACCUCACCGUGCCGUGCACAUCCUCGUCGAGGGACGCGAAGACGCCCCUGUCACCCGUCACGUGGCUGCUUGCACCUGUGUCAAAGAACCACAGACCAUCCGGAGAGGGCACGGGCAUGACUUUUUCCUCAUUGAGAUACACCUCUUGGGGUGCCACGACCUGCGUAGCAUCGACGCUGGUGACCACGGCCAUGUACAGGCCCUGAUCGUGCUCCGCGUUGGCCUCCGCAAGGUUGGCCUGCUCCUGAUUGCCCUUCUGCUCCUGCUCGCGCAGCCACGUUCGGCACUUCUUCUUCCAAUGUCUUGGAAUACUGCAAUGAUGGCACUUGCCUUUCUUUUUCUUGCUGCCAGACCCGCCAGAGCCGCCCGCGCCCGUGCUCCCGGACGCGCCUUUGCCGCCACCGUGAGGCUUGGCCCUGGCGUGCCCCUUGUUCUUGCCAGUGUUGCCGCCGCCGCCUCCAGACGACGAGCCACUGCCGCCGCCCACCUUCUCGCGGGCCAGCCACUCCUCGUGAGUGAGCAAGAGACGCCCGGCAGGCUACGCGCCGUCGUCCAGAUCGUAGUGGUCCUCGCAUGCAGAGAAGCGACCGACGAGUUCCUCGAUCGUCAUGGCCUUCAGAUUGAGAAGUGA